Molecule: ribosomal RNA, 503 nt
Filed under: uncultured bacterium
Lineage: Bacteria
Description: bacterial SSU rRNA
Rfam family: Bacterial small subunit ribosomal RNA
Source: RNAcentral
AUUGAACGCUGGCGGCAGGCCUAACACAUGCAAGUCGAGCGGAUGAGAAGAGCUUGCUCUUCGAUUCAGCGGCGGACGGGUGAGUAAUGCCUAGGAAUCUGCCUGGUAGUGGGGGACAACGUUUCGAAAGGAACGCUAAUACCGCAUACGUCCUACGGGAGAAAGCAGGGGACCUUCGGGCCUUGCGCUAUCAGAUGAGCCUAGGUCGGAUUAGCUAGUUGGUGAGGUAAUGGCUCACCAAGGCGACGAUCCGUAACUGGUCUGAGAGGAUGAUCAGUCACACUGGAACUGAGACACGGUCCAGACUCCUACGGGAGGCAGCAGUGGGGAAUAUUGGACAAUGGGCGAAAGCCUGAUCCAGCCAUGCCGCGUGUGUGAAGAAGGUCUUCGGAUUGUAAAGCACUUUAAGUUGGGAGGAAGGGCAUUAACCUAAUACGUUAGUGUUUUGACGUUACCGACAGAAUAAGCACCGGCUAACUCUGUGCCAGCCGCCGCCGUAACAC